CUGCGGCUUAAUUUGACUCAACACGGGAAAACUCACCCGGCCCGGACACCGGCAGGAUUGACAGAUUGAGAGCUCUUUCUUGAUUCGGUGGGUGGUGGUGCAUGGCCGUUCUUAGUUGGUGGAGCGAUUUGUCUGCUUAAUUGCGUUAACGAACGAGACUCCAGCCUGCUAAAUAGGCGUCCCGAUCCCCCGCGGUCGGGCGCUCUCUUCUUAGAGGGACCGGCGGCGUUCAGCCGCACGAGACGGAGCA
RNAcentral lists this ribosomal RNA (250 nucleotides) under Speocera sp. 413 FL-2019. RNAcentral's name for it is "partial small subunit ribosomal RNA". It matches the Rfam family "Eukaryotic small subunit ribosomal RNA", at positions 1183 to 1452 of the family's 1831-position model. The record is from RNAcentral. Lineage: Eukaryota; Metazoa; Arthropoda; Arachnida; Araneae; Ochyroceratidae.